GACGAACGCUGGCGGCGUGCUUAACACAUGCAAGUCGAACGGAAAGGCCCCCACCUUGGUGGGGGUGCUCGAGUGGCGAACGGGUGAGUAACACGUGGGUGAUCUGCCCUGUACUUCGGGAUAAGCUUGGGAAACUGGGUCUAAUACCGGAUAGGACCAUGGUUUAGUGUCUCAUGGUGGAAAAAUUAUUGUUUUGGUGCAGGAUGAGCUCGCGGCCUAUCAGCUUGUUGGUGGGGUAAUGGCCUACCAAGGCGUCGACGGGUAGCCGGCCUGAGAGGGUGGACGGCCACAUUGGGACUGAGAUACGGCCCAGACUCCUACGGGAGGCAGCAGUGGGGAAUAGUGCACAAUGGGCGCAAGCCUGAUGCAGCGACGCCGCGUGGGGGAUGACGGCCUUCGGGUUGUAAACUCCUUUCGUUAGGGACGAAGCCACACCUUUUUUGGGUGUGGUGACGGUACCUUUGUGAAGAAGCACCGGCUAACUACGUG
Molecule: ribosomal RNA, 489 nt
Filed under: uncultured bacterium
Lineage: Bacteria
Description: partial 16S ribosomal RNA
Rfam family: Bacterial small subunit ribosomal RNA
Source: RNAcentral